RNAcentral lists this ribosomal RNA (800 nucleotides) under uncultured bacterium. RNAcentral's name for it is "bacterial SSU rRNA". It matches the Rfam family "Bacterial small subunit ribosomal RNA", at positions 36 to 834 of the family's 1533-position model. The record is from RNAcentral.
AUGGGGGGCGUGCUUACCAUGGGCAGUCGAACGAAGCGCUUUACCUUGAUUCCUUCGGGUUGAUUGGUACUGUGACUGAGUGGCGGACGGGUGAGUAACGCGUGGGUAACCUGCCCCAUACAGGGGGAUAACAGAUAGAAAUGUCUGCUAAUACCGCAUAAGACCACAGCGCCGCAUGGCGCAGGGGUAAAAACUCCGGUGGUAUGGGAUGGACCCGCGUCUGAUUAGCUAGUUGGUGGGGUAAAGGCCCACCAAGGCGACGAUCAGUAGCCGACCUGAGAGGGUGACCGGCCACAUUGGGACUGAGACACGGCCCAAACUCCUACGGGAGGCAGCAGUGGGGAAUAUUGCACAAUGGGGGAAACCCUGAUGCAGCGACGCCGCGUGAAGGAUGAAGUAUUUCGGUAUGUAAACUUCUAUCAGCAGGGAAGAAAAUGACGGUACCUGACUAAGAAGCCCCGGCUAACUACGUGCCAGCAGCCGCGGUAAUACGUAGGGGGCAAGCGUUAUCCGGAUUUACUGGGUGUAAAGGGAGCGUAGACGGCAUGGCAAGUCUGAUGUGAAAACCCGGGGCUCAACCCCGGGACUGCAUUGGAAACUGUCAGGCUAGAGUGUCGGAGAGGCAAGUGGAAUUCCUAGUGUAGCGGUGAAAUGCGUAGAUAUUAGGAGGAACACCAGUGGCGAAGGCGGCUUGCUGGACGAUGACUGACGUUGAGGCUCGAAAGCGUGGGGAGCAAACAGGAUUAGAUACCCUGGUAGUCCACGCCGUANACGAUGACUACUANGUGUCGGGGGACGAC